UAAUCACUUGUCUUUUAAAUGAAGACCCGUAUGAACGGCACGACGAAGGCCCAGCUGUCUCCUUUUUCAGGUCAAUGAAAUUGAUCUUCCCGUGCAGAAGCGGGAAUGUUAACAUAAGACGAGAAGACCCUAUGGAGCUUCAGACCCAAGGCAGCCCACGUCAAGCACCCCCCGACAAAGGGUUAAACCAAGUGAAGCUCUGCCCCAGUGUCUUUGGUUGGGGCGACCGCGGGGAAAAACUAAACCCCCAUGUAGAUAAGGAAUAGCCCUCCUACAACCAAGAGUCACCACUCUAAGCAACAGAAAUUCUGACCAAAAUGAUCCGGCAAUGCCGAUCCACGGACCGAGUUACCCUAGGGAUAACAGCGCAAUCCUCUUCCAGAGCCCA
Molecule: ribosomal RNA, 388 nt
Filed under: Diretmoides pauciradiatus
Lineage: Eukaryota; Metazoa; Chordata; Actinopteri; Trachichthyiformes; Diretmidae
Description: partial 16S ribosomal RNA
Rfam family: Bacterial large subunit ribosomal RNA
Source: RNAcentral